AUCGAACCUGUGUCCUCAUGGAUGCUAGUUGGGUUCAUUAACCCCUGAGCCAUUAUGGGAACUCCCCCCCCUUUGUGUCUCUCUCUGUCUGUUUCUCUUUCCCUGUCUCUCUGUCUCUCUCCUGUCUCUCUGUGUCCCUCUGUCACCGACUAUCUGUCUCUCUCUCAUACAGGUGUAUUGGAUCCACUGUCUGACUGCCUUGCAACCCCUGCAUCUUCCUGAGGCCUCCAGUCUGAAGAAGCUCCAGAACAAUGACAAUCUCCACACCAUCCAGGCUGCCUUAGAGCCCAGCGAAUAUUCAAACAAGUCCUCGCAUAUGCAUGACCGCAGCAGUGCUGUCGUGAAAAAUUACCAAGCCACAAUCACCAAAACAUGGAAACAGUCCAAGAGGAAAACAAUCUAAGAUCAACUCCAAAAUCAAGGGGAUGGGGGUGGAGGAAAUGAGUGGAUUAAUCAAAUGUGGCUCGGGAGUUCCCAUUGUGGCACAGUGGAAAUGAAUCCAACCAGGAACCAUGAGGAUGCAGGUUCGAUCCCAGUCCCUCCCUGCCCAUUGAGUUAAGGAUCCAGCGUUGCUGUGAGCUGUGGUGUAGGUUGCAGAUGUGGCUCGGAUCUGGCAUUGCUGUGGCUGUGGCAUAGGCCAGUAGCUACAGCUCCGUUUGGACCCCUAGCCUGGGAACCUCCAUAUGCCAUGGGUGCGGCCCUAAAAAUACAAU
RNAcentral lists this long non-coding RNA (713 nucleotides) under Sus scrofa (pig). RNAcentral describes it as "lncRNA (ENSSSCG00060030415.1, ENSSSCG00065010180.1)". The record is from RNAcentral. Lineage: Eukaryota; Metazoa; Chordata; Mammalia; Artiodactyla; Suidae.